GCUGGGUAGCGGUACAAGUGAGGCGGGCAAGGCCCAUUCCCUUACGGCUCUAGGCAGAAAGAAGCAAUGGGCUGAAGUGACGCUGGAUGAGUGGCCAGUCUGGUCGGUAGGGUGGCCGGUGUGCUCUCAGGCUUGACUGCCAAUAGACCUCUGAUGAUGACACGAGCUCACGCCGUCUGCUUUGUGAACGUGUACAGGAUGCGGAAGACUGGCUACAUGCAGCAGGCCAGUCCCCACCACCCCGUGAGGGGCCGGGAUCAGUAGUCCUUACCUUACUAAUGUGUGGAAAUGGACGGUCUUAACUCUUCACUGUCCCACUGAGUGCAAUGCUAUUUCUGCCUGGAUCUCCUGCCGCACUGACCAGCUCUGGCUACACGUGUACUCCGGUGCCCCUCCCCUCCCCCCUUUGCCCGUGCCAGCCGUCCGUCAGCCCCCCUGGUCAGCCCGGAGCGAGCAGAGUGGGAAUUUUGUCUUUGUAUUGAAGCUGCAAUAGCGGCAUGUACUGGGAUGCCGAACAGCUAAGGUGCUGCGGGAACUGGUAGGAGCCCACGAGUUACGGCCCCGCAAUAGCGGGGGAAUUGUGUGCAGGGUAGUGUACACAGAAAAUAUGACAAUACCAAACAUAACAAUAAUAAUGGGGUGAUUACAGGACAGGCAGCGACAGUCUCCCGUUUCACAAACUUUCUCUAGGUGCUUUUCCUCCUUGAUGUGAAGUAUGGACAUAUCGACGAAACAACAAUUUCGAGCACUCCUUGAGCUCGCACUGUCGGCUUUGUGCUGGUGAAAUGGAGGGCCCUGCCCAGCCUGGCCCCCCAAACGCAGCAGGUGCGAGCUGCUCCCUCGCGGAGCGCCCUUCGACCCAGACAAAUGCAUACGUAGCACCAUGCAUGCGUAUGCAACCCAGCAGCUGCUCGCCCUCCCAUCAUAGUCUCUCAUUGUUUUCCCCCUUGCCGCGUGUUCUGAAACCAGGCUGUCGCUGGGAGAGGCUCCCGCUGCUGGCCCCCGGCGCCCGGCCCCAACAGCAGCGGCAGCCAGUCUGUGGUCCUGAGGCCGCUGUACGUGAAGACGCUGACGGGCAAGACCAUCACGCUGCAGGACGUGCACUCCGACCUGGACGUGUACGACCUGAAGUGCAUGGUGCGUUACUGUUACAGUUAUAGUUUGCAGUUAUGAUUAUAGCUGCAGUGUUUCAUUAGUUGGUGCCCAGUAUGUGGGGAACGCGGGCAGUGGCUGUCCAUGCAUGCCUCCUGCCAGUGCCGGUGGCUUGUGCUGCUCCCACGUUCAACGCGCCGUUACCGGCCCCGAGCCCCUACUGACGGUUUGCUCCUGCUGCUUCUACUAUACCGCUGCUGCUGCCGUCUGCUGCGGUCGCCCACAGAUUGACGAGCUAGAGGGCAUCCCACCGGACGAGCAGCGGCUCGUCUUCGCGGGCAGGCAGCUCGAGGACGCUGACACCCUGGCGUCCUACAACAUCUCAAAGGAGUCCACCCUGCAUCUCAUCCUGAGGCUGGGCCACCCAGGCGUGGCGAUCCAGGUGUCAUGAGGGGCGGCGGCUGGCGGCGGGAGUGGCGGGUGGGUGCUGGCGGGUGCGGUGGAUGUGGUGGCGGGUGGCGGGCGGCGGGUGGUGGGUGAUUGCCUGCUGUGGGCGCGGCUGAAGGGGUGGCGGGGCGGUGGCGGAGCGGUGGCGGGGUAGUGGCAGGGAGGUGGUGACUGGCCGGGGGAGGGGUGACAUUCAUGUUCUUAUCAGGAAAAGGGGCCGGGGAAGAGGUAGGUGUAAUGACGGGUAUCUGCCCCGGACCUCUGGGACGUGCCACCUACUACCAUCCGUAGUAGCAGGGUGUGCCACGCGAGCUGACGAACAGCACGAAGUGCCGCAGCGCAUGCGCGGAUGUGCACAUGUGUGCAGCUGGCAAUCGCAACUUGAGGUGCUGUGUGAAUUGCAUCGCGUUGUGCUGCAGAUUCAUAACAUGCUUUGGGAAUAGAUGCGAUGGGACGGGGUAAGUGGCAGGAUUGCGUAGUCCCGUGGUGUGCACAGCGUAUGCUCUGUUGCCAGAAUGUUUAGGGCUGGGUAGCGGUACAAGUGAGGCGGGCAAGGCCCAUUCCCUUACGGCUCUAGGCAGAAAGAAGCAAUGGGCUGAAGUGACGCUGGAUGAGUGGCCAGUCUGGUCGGUAGGGUGGCCGGUGUGCUCUCAGGCUUGACUGCCAAUAGACCUCUGAUGAUGACACGAGCUCACGCCGUCUGCUUUGUGAACGUGUACAGGAUGCGGAAGACUGGCUACAUGCAGCAGGCCAGUCCCCACCACCCCGUGAGGGGCCGGGAUCAGUAGUCCUUACCUUACUAAUGUGUGGAAAUGGACGGUCUUAACUCUUCACUGUCCCACUGAGUGCAAUGCUAUUUCUGCCUGGAUCUCCUGCCGCACUGACCAGCUCUGGCUACACGUGUACUCCGGUGCCCCUCCCCUCCCCCCUUUGCCCGUGCCAGCCGUCCGUCAGCCCCCCUGGUCAGCCCGGAGCGAGCAGAGUGUCGGUGGAGGUAUUGGAUUGACAGAUUCAUAACAUGCUUUGGGAAUAGAUGCGAUGGGACGGGGUAAGUGGCAGGAUUGCGUAGUCCCGUGGUGUGCACAGCGUAUGCUCUGUUGCCAGAAUGUUUAGGGCUGGGUAGCGGUACAAGUGAGGCGGGCAAGGCCCAUUCCCUUACGGCUCUAGGCAGAAAGAAGCAAUGGGCUGAAGUGACGCUGGAUGAGUGGCCAGUCUGGUCGGUAGGGUGGCCGGUGUGCUCUCAGGCUUGACUGCCAAUAGACCUCUGAUGAUGACACGAGCUCACGCCGUCUGCUUUGUGAACGUGUACAGGAUGCGGAAGACUGGCUACAUGCAGCAGGCCAGUCCCCACCACCCCGUGAGGGGCCGGGAUCAGUAGUCCUUACCUUACUAAUGUGUGGAAAUGGACGGUCUUAACUCUUCACUGUCCCACUGAGUGCAAUGCUAUUUCUGCCUGGAUCUCCUGCCGCACUGACCAGCUCUGGCUACACGUGUACUCCGGUGCCCCUCCCCUCCCCCCUUUGCCCGUGCCAGCCGUCCGUCAGCCCCCCUGGUCAGCCCGGAGCGAGC
Molecule: long non-coding RNA, 3108 nt
Filed under: Chlamydomonas reinhardtii
Lineage: Eukaryota; Viridiplantae; Chlorophyta; Chlorophyceae; Chlamydomonadales; Chlamydomonadaceae
Description: long non-coding RNA (CREI_LNC000730)
Source: RNAcentral